UUCUGGGGUUUGAUCAUGUCUUGCUCGUGAGAGAGAUUUUAGUCAACGUUUCUGAAUCUUUUAGAUCCAUGUGUGCUUUACAAAUCUUUAUGUCAUCUUAUAGAUGCUGCUACUACGUGCUAUUCGGAAAUACUCCAAAUAUCUACUCUACUAUACGAAUCCGUUUUACUACUCAUAGUUAUUCAGAUUAGUGUCAAAGCUUGCAUGGACGUAACCCUUUACGACGAAUUCUUUAACCACCUCCAUAAUCGAGAAAAAAAUCCUUAGUCCAUUAGUUACUAAGGAUAACUUUGACCGUUGUUCAGUGAUUCAAUCCUGUAUCACUCUCCGUACCUCUUAAUAGACUUGUGGCAAGGCACACAUCAAGUGCGGCACACAUCAUGGCAUACUUUAGAGUCUAUGGCUAAGGCAUAGGAGACGACCUUCGUCCUUUCUCUUUCUUCUGCUGUGGUCGAGCUUUGAGUCUUUACUCAAAUUCACACCUUACAACACAGCCAAGAACUCCUUCUUUGCUGAUCUAUUUUGAACUCCUUCAAAAACUUGUCAAGGCAUGCAUUUCAUUGAAAGUUCUAUUAAGC
Molecule: long non-coding RNA, 578 nt
Filed under: Hordeum vulgare
Lineage: Eukaryota; Viridiplantae; Streptophyta; Magnoliopsida; Poales; Poaceae
Description: long non-coding RNA (HVUL_LNC008859)
Source: RNAcentral